RNAcentral lists this non-coding RNA (45 nucleotides) under Schistosoma margrebowiei. The record is from RNAcentral. Lineage: Eukaryota; Metazoa; Platyhelminthes; Trematoda; Strigeidida; Schistosomatidae.
CUACAGCUGACAAGUCCCGAAUAGGACGAAACGCGAGUUCUGUAU